This 23-nucleotide non-coding RNA is filed under the name Arabidopsis thaliana (thale cress). Lineage: Eukaryota; Viridiplantae; Streptophyta; Magnoliopsida; Brassicales; Brassicaceae. The record is from RNAcentral.
UGGGUUAAUCCAUUUAACAACUC